CCUACGGGCGGCAGCAGUGGGGAAUAUUGGACAAUGGGGGCAACCCUGAUCCAGCCAUGCCGCGUGUGUGAAGAAGGCCCUCGGGUUGUAAAGCACUUUCAGUGAGGAAGAACGCCUGGUGGUUAAUACCCAUCAGGAAAGACAUCACUCACAGAAGAAGCACCGGCUAACUCCGUGCCAGCAGCCGCGGUAAUACGGAGGGUGCGAGCGUUAAUCGGAAUUACUGGGCGUAAAGCGCGCGUAGGUGGCUUGAUAAGCCGGUUGUGAAAGCCCCGGGCUCAACCUGGGAACGGCAUCCGGAACUGUCAAGCUAGAGUACAGGAGAGGAAGGUAGAAUUCCCGGUGUAGCGGUGAAAUGCGUAGAGAUCGGGAGGAAUACCAGUGGCGAAGGCGGCCUUCUGGACUGACACUGACACUGAGGUGCGAAAGCGUGGGUAGCAAACAGGAUUAGAUACCCUAGUAGUC
This 465-nucleotide ribosomal RNA is filed under the name Vreelandella stevensii. Its description in RNAcentral is "partial 16S ribosomal RNA". It matches the Rfam family "Bacterial small subunit ribosomal RNA", at positions 338 to 795 of the family's 1533-position model. Lineage: Bacteria; Pseudomonadati; Pseudomonadota; Gammaproteobacteria; Oceanospirillales; Halomonadaceae. The record is from RNAcentral.